RNAcentral lists this long non-coding RNA (1091 nucleotides) under Salvia miltiorrhiza (redroot sage). RNAcentral describes it as "long non-coding RNA (SMIL_LNC003819)". The record is from RNAcentral. Lineage: Eukaryota; Viridiplantae; Streptophyta; Magnoliopsida; Lamiales; Lamiaceae.
UCCCUCCCUCCCUCCCUCCCUCCUUCUUUCUCUCCUCCGGCGAAGCGCCGCCGCCUGGUCUCGUCGUCACCGCCCUAGCAGCGCCGAAAACGCCACCGCCGAUCCAGAGUCCCUGAGGCGGUGCUCUUCGAGGCUUUUGUUCUGGAUCUCAGCGACUUUCUUGCCGCCGCUCGCGCACCCAUGGCUACCGUUUGGAUCGCCACACAUGGUGGUGACUUGUGUGCAGAAAAUGGAGGCGAUGUUGGAGGCUAGGAGGCAGAGAGAGAGAAGAGAAAUCAAAGCGUAGAAAGAUUUCUUGCUUCUCUGCUCAGACAAGAAACUGUCAAUGAUUUUCUUCAUUCUCAGAUCUGGAACAAGAAUUAGAAACAGUUGCUGCUGCUAUCAUAUCGAAAGAGAGAGCACGGGAGGCGGCACAGAAAUCAAAUUGAAAAGCGAGGUUGUUUUUGGUGGUGAUGAGGAAGCACUACUUUAGCUUUGUAUUUAUAUACUGUAUGUCAUUUUUCAUUCAAAAUUAAAUUGAAAAAGAUCAGAAUAUGAUGGUGUUGGUGGUGAAGGGGGGCGGCUCAAUAAGUAUGGGAAUUAAACUUAAUUAUUAGAUUCAUCUCUCGCAAGGUGUUUGGCUAUGCGAUUGAUGGAUAAAUUAAGUGUGAUGCUGUCUUUUUUUCGUCAAGAAGAUUGUGGAGGCGUGCUUUUAAGGUAUGGUCGAUGCUGGAACUGCAACAAUUAAAUAUUCACAAAAAAUUGGUUUGUGCAAUAUUAAAAAAAAAAAUUGAUAGAGAAAAUUGUUGUAGAUUUAAUUAAAUAUUUGAAGUUGAGUACUAUCAAUCAGAUUUAUGAAUUCAUAACUAAAUCUAUGAAUUCACAAUUUAAUGUUCUUGAAUUCACGAUCACAUUUAUAAAUUUACAACUUAAUGUUUUUAAAUUCACAACUAGAUUUAUGAAUUCACAACUUAAUGUUCUUGAAUUAACAACUAGCUCGAUGAAUUCACAACUUAAUAUUAUUGAAUUUACAACUAAAUAUAUAAAUUCACAAUCAAAAUAAAUUAUAGUUUUAAUUGUGAAUUCAAGCUUUAAAAACUCAAAUUCACAAC